GCCUUGAUGAUGAGUACAAAUGUCUGAGGAUGCUGAGUGACUCAUACAAAUGGUCCAGAUGUGUGGU
Nannospalax galili (Upper Galilee mountains blind mole rat) is the source of this 67-nucleotide small nucleolar RNA. RefSeq annotates it as small nucleolar RNA SNORD109A. Lineage: Eukaryota; Metazoa; Chordata; Mammalia; Rodentia; Spalacidae. The transcript has a single exon. The record is from RefSeq and is a predicted model, not a curated record.